This 71-nucleotide transfer RNA is filed under the name Camelus dromedarius (Arabian camel). It matches the Rfam family "tRNA". From Rfam's summary of the family: Transfer RNA (tRNA) molecules are approximately 80 nucleotides in length. Their secondary structure includes four short double-helical elements and three loops (D, anti-codon, and T loops). The record is from Rfam by way of RNAcentral. Lineage: Eukaryota; Metazoa; Chordata; Mammalia; Artiodactyla; Camelidae. RNAcentral also lists the same sequence under 1 other name.
GACGGUAUAACUCAGUGGUAGAGUGCGUGCUUAGCAUGCACGAGGUCCUGGGUUCAAUCCCCAGUACCUCA